RNAcentral lists this ribosomal RNA (297 nucleotides) under uncultured bacterium. RNAcentral describes it as "partial 16S ribosomal RNA". It matches the Rfam family "Bacterial small subunit ribosomal RNA", at positions 475 to 776 of the family's 1533-position model. The record is from RNAcentral.
CUAUGCGCCUUGCCAGCCCGCUCAGGUGUGCCAGCCGCCGCGGUAAUACGGAGGAUGCGAGCGUUAUCCGGAUUUAUUGGGUUUAAAGGGUGCGCAGCGGAUUUUUAAGUCAGCGGUCAAAUCGUGGGGCUCAACCCCAUCCAGCCGUUGAAACUGGGGAUCUAGAGUGUGCGAGAGGUAUGCGGAAUGCGUGGUGUAGCGGUGAAAUGCAUAGAUAUCACGCAGAACUCCGAUUGCGAAGGCAGCAUACCGGCGCCCGACUGACGCUGAGGCACGAAAGCGUGGGUAUCGAACAGG